This 245-nucleotide long non-coding RNA is filed under the name Capsella rubella. RNAcentral's name for it is "long non-coding RNA (CRUB_LNC001196)". The record is from RNAcentral. Lineage: Eukaryota; Viridiplantae; Streptophyta; Magnoliopsida; Brassicales; Brassicaceae.
UUUCUUUUGUCAAUACCAUUUCAAUUGUAUUAGCUAGGAAUAUUGUUCAACAUCACUUUUUCUAAAUCUUAUGUCAUAACUAUGUUUCUUCCGUUUUUUAUAUCAUUGUUAUGUACGAUUAGUUAAUUAUAGCCAUUUCAAGCCUUAAUUAAAUUAAUGUAAAAAAAAAAAAAAAGAGCAGAAGGCCUAGUAGACGGCUGUUAGCACAUUAUAUGCCUUGCUUGUUAUUUGAAAGGUAUGCAAAC